Molecule: ribosomal RNA, 389 nt
Filed under: Thoracosphaeraceae sp.
Lineage: Eukaryota; Dinophyceae; Thoracosphaerales; Thoracosphaeraceae
Description: partial small subunit ribosomal RNA
Rfam family: Eukaryotic small subunit ribosomal RNA
Source: RNAcentral
AUUCCAGCUCCAAUGGCGUAUAUUAAGGCUGUUGCGGUUAAGAAGCUCGUAGUUGGAUUUCUGCCGAGGACGACCGGUCUGCCCACUGGGUGUGUAUCUGGUUCGGCCUGGGCAUCUUCUUGGAGAACGUAUCUGCACUUGACUGUGUGGUGCGGUAUCCAUGACCUUUACUUUGAGGAAAUUCAAAUGUUUCAAGCAGGCACACGACUUGAAUACAUUAACCUUGAAUAAUAAGAUAGGAACUCGGUUCUCUUUUGUUGGUUUCUAGAACUGUGGCAAUGAUUAAUAGGGAUAGUUGGGGGCAUUCGUAUAUAACUGUCAGAGGUAAAAUUUUUGGAUUUGUUAAAGGCGGACUACUGCGAAAGCAUUUGCCAAGGAUGUGUUCAUUA